RNAcentral lists this ribosomal RNA (255 nucleotides) under uncultured bacterium. RNAcentral describes it as "partial 16S ribosomal RNA". It matches the Rfam family "Bacterial small subunit ribosomal RNA", at positions 524 to 776 of the family's 1533-position model. The record is from RNAcentral.
GACAGAGGGUGCAAACGUUGCUCGGAAUCACUGGGCGUAAAGGGCGUGUAGGCGGGACAGUAAGUCGGGCGUGAAAUCCCUGGGCUCAACCCAGGAACUGCACUCGAAACUACUAUUCUUGAGUGUCGGAGAGGAAAGCGGAAUUCCUGGUGUAGAGGUGAAAUUCGUAGAUAUCAGGAGGAACACCAGUGGCGAAGGCGGCUUUCUGGACGAUAACUGACGCUGAGACGCGAAAAGCGUGGGGAGCCAAACAGG